Molecule: ribosomal RNA, 944 nt
Filed under: marine metagenome
Description: bacterial SSU rRNA
Rfam family: Bacterial small subunit ribosomal RNA
Source: RNAcentral
AGAGUUUGAUCCUGGCUCAGGACGAACGCUGGCGGCGUGCUUAACACAUGCAAGUCAAGGAGAACGUAUUCUUCGGAAUACUAUUAAACUGGCGAACGGGUGAGUAACGCGUAGGCAACCUGCCCUAGAGACGGGGAUAACUUCGGGAAACCGGGGCUAAUACCGGAUAAUGCAGCGGAUCCUUCGGGAUACAGUUGUUAAAGCGGGCUUCGGCUCGCACUUUAGGAUGGGCCUGCGUCCGAUUAGCUUGUUGGUAGGGUAACGGCUUACCAAGGCGAUGAUCGGUAGCUGGUCUGAGAGGAUGAUCAGCCACACUGGGAUUGAGAUACGGCCCAGACUCCUACGGGAGGCAGCAGUGGGGAAUUUUGCGCAAUGGGGGAAACCCUGACGCAGCAACGCCGCGUGACCGAUGAAGCUUUUCGGAGUGUAAAGGUCUGUCGUAAGGGAAGAAAAGUUUGGAUGUAAAUAAUGUUCGAACCUGACGGUACCUUACAAGAAAGCACCGGCUAACUUAGUGCCAGCAGCCGCGGUAAUACUAGGGGUGCGAGCGUUGUCCGGAAUCACUGGGCGUAAAGGGUCCGUAGGCGUCCCAAUAAGUCAUUUGUUAAAUUCACCGGCUUAACCGGUGGCCUGCAUUUGAAACUGUUGGGAUAGAGUAUAGGAGAGGAAAGUGGAAUUCCUGGUGUAGCGGUGACAUGCGUAGAUAUCAGGAGGAACACCAAUGGCGAAGGCAGCUUUCUGGCUCGAUACUGACGCUGAGGGACGAAAGCGUGGGGAGCGAACAGGAUUAGAUACCCUGGUAGUCCACGCCGUAAACGAUGAGUACUUGGUGGUGGGGGAUUCGACCCCUUCACUGUCGGAGCUAACGCGUUAAGUACUCCGCCUGGGAACUACGACCGCAAGGUUGAAACUCAAAGGAAUUGACGGGGACCCGCACAAGCGGU